RNAcentral lists this long non-coding RNA (4321 nucleotides) under Salmo salar (Atlantic salmon). RNAcentral's name for it is "lncRNA (ENSSSAG00000082463.1)". The record is from RNAcentral. Lineage: Eukaryota; Metazoa; Chordata; Actinopteri; Salmoniformes; Salmonidae.
CUCCCACAUAGACAAGCCUUUUAUAUUAAAUAUAUUUCACAAUUUAGAUACACAAAACAGAUGUUAAUCUGAAAAUGAAACAAGCAGAUGAAACAUAACUAAUACACAUAACAUUCAUAUAGAUUAUUAAGACAAAAUAUACAGGAAAAGAAAGUUUGUUUGAUGAUCAAGAAUAAACACAGUAACAUCCUUAUUGACAUUUUACAUUCAUUGUGUUUGCUGAUACUUUUACAAAGAAAGGAAAAUACGAGCAAUAAAGGAGAAUAUAUUUCAACCUACAAUUUCUCUCACAAAAUGUAUAAAACCGAAGAGGUGUCAUAUUACUAAUGAUUAACACACCUGUAGAAGGUGAUGGUGCUGAACUAUGGCUGAGAUGGCAUCUCAAUGCAUUUCUACAGGUUCACUGCAUUCCUUUGCACCAUCUCUUCACAUGAAUCAGCUAUUGCCUGGACAGUUAAUCUAAGACAAGUCUAUGCCUAACCAUGUUCAAUGGAGAGCUAUUCUGUAGGUUUUCAGUCCCAACACUAAUUUAAUUACACCUGAUUCAACUUACUGCCUGCUCACCAACACAUUAACGAGCUAAAUAGGGUAUGUUAGGUUAGGGUCGGAGCAAAAACCUGCAGGAGGGUAGCUCUCCAGCAACAGGGAUGGGCAGCCCUGAUCUAAGAAUACCAUUGUAUAACCUCUAAAUAAUCUCUAAAACGUUUAUAACCACUCACACUCUUCAGGAUUGCUCUGAGCAACAUGAGCUGAGGUGUGUGGUUGUUCAAGUAGAAGCUGCGAUCUGAAUCGAAGAAAUAUAACCCCCACAUAGAAUAGGUUACUUAAGGACAAAGUGUCUGGUCUGCAGUUGCUGUGUUGAUGAUAGGCCAAAACUGUGCUGGCCAAAGUGCUAUAACUUAGUUAUAAUUGACCAAAAAAAUAGCCUCUCUCCCUAUCGGUCUCUCUCUCUCUCUAUCUCUCUCUCUCUAGCUCUCUCUCACUAUCGCUCUCUCUCUGUCUCAAGCUCUCUCUCACUAUCUCUCUCUCUCUGUCUCUCUCUCUCUCUCACUAUCUAUCUCUCUCUCUCUGUCUCUCUCACUUUGUGUCUCCUUGCUUCUCUUACGUUCCCUGCAUAUCUGCCUCUUUCUGCCCCUCUCUCUUCCACAGUGGUAAUAAUAAUAACUAGCCCACAUGCUGUACUCCCUAUUCCAACAUCUCACCUCGUUCAAACGUCAAAUGUGAUCCUUCAGAAUAUGGAAUAUGUCUUUUGUGAAUUAAUCUUUUACAUCAUUACCUCAUCAUGCAUUUAUAACAAUCAUAAUAAUAGCCUAGUAAUAACAAUAAUAAACAGAUGCAAUUUUGUUUUUAUUUGUGUGUGUGUGUGUGUGUGUGUGUGUGUGUGUGUGUGUGUGUGUGUGUGUGUGUGUGAGUAAACAGACCUGGGGGUGGGGCUUUGACUAAAUAAGAAAUGAUUGGCAUAUACCCGAAUGUAGCCAAUCGCUGAUAGUCAAAAAAACAAAAAAAACCAACAGGCUGGUCAACAGGCUGAUCAACAGGCUGGUCAACAGGCUGGUCAACAGGCUGAUCAACAGGCUGGUCAACAGGCUGGUCAACAGGCUGGUCAACAGGCUGGUCAACAGGCUGAUCAACAGGCUGGUCAACAGGCUGGUCAACAGGCUGGUCAACAGGCUGGUCAACAGGCUGAUCAACAGGCUGGUCAACAGGCUGGUCAACAGGCUGGUCAACAGGCUGGUCAACAGGCUGACCAACAGGCUGGUCAACAGGCUGGCCAACAGGCUGGUCAACAGGCUGACCAACAGGCUGGUCAACAGGCUGGUCAACAGGCUGGUCAACAGGCUGGUCAACAGGCUGGUCAACAGGCUGGUCAACAGGCUGACCAACAGGCUGGUCAACAGGCUGAUCAACAGGCUGGUCAACAGGCUGAUCAACAGGCUGGUCAACAGGCUGGUCAACAGGCUGACCAACAGGCUGGUCAACAGGCUGGUCAACAGGCUGACCAACAGGCUGGUCAACAGGCUGGUCAACAGGCUGACCAACAGGCUGGUCAACAGGUUGAACUGCGUCCCAAAUGUCAUCCUAUCCCUUAGUGCACUACUUUUGAUGGCUCUAGUCAAAAGUAGUGCACUUGCAAGGGAAUAGGGGACGCUGAUAUGAAGAGCUCUGGACUGAGAAGAUAAGUAGUCCUAGAGCUCUGCUAUUGGUGGACUGAGAAGAUAAGUAGUCCUAGAGCUCUGCUGUUGGUGGACUGAGAAGAUAAGUAGUCCUAGAGCUCUGCUAUUGGUGGACUGAGAAGAUAAGUAGUCCUAGAGCUCUGCUGUUGGUGGACUCAGAAGAUAAGUAGUCCUAGAGCUCUGCUAUUGGUGGACUGAGAAGAUAAGUAGUCCUAGAGCUCUGCUAUUGGUGGACUGAGAAGAUAAGUAGUCCUAGAGCUCUGCUAUUGGUGGACUGAGAAGAUAAGUAGUCCUAGAGCUCUGCUAUUGGUGGACUGAGAAGAUAAGUAGUCCUAGAGCUCUGCUGUUGGUCCCAAGCCCGACGGGCCCCAGCAUUAUACAUCGGGUUAGGGCCGGGUAAGGCCUUUUUUUUUUUUUCAUCAAUAACUAGGGUACUGGUACGGCUCGGGUAUCAUUAAAUGAUCAUUAAAAUGUUGAAGGUGAGCCAUUUGCGCGUGCUCUGCUGCGCAGUACAGUCAUAUCUGACUAAGAUCAUAACAUGGUGUUAGAAGUGCUUCAACAUUGUCAAAUAUAAAACAGGAGAGAUUAUUUGACAGAAAAUAAUAAUGUUCCUUGAGUGAAAAUUAGCUAACAGCUAACAGCCCUCUCAUAUCUCGUCAUUGAGCAGCCCAAGAGGAGCCGUCGCUAUGGUUACUCACAGACUCAGAGCGCAUGCAGAGCGAGCUGUGUGCAGGGAGCGAGUGACAGACAGAGCAGCUAAUGGAUUUACUAACAGAGGAAGUGAUUUCAGAUUUUGGGCUUCGUGCAUGAAUGGGCCUUAAAUUUGGCAGAAGCAAUUGGGCCUGGGCAGGGUAGGGCCUGAAUGUUGCCUGGCAUUGGUAGAGCUCUGGUUUAAAAUGCAUGCCCGCGCAGGGCUCAAAGUAGUCCUACGGAACCUGAAAUAUAUUCAGACACAAUCAGAGAACAUUCAAAGAUUUACAUUCAAUGACAGGCAGUCAGAGAACAUUCAAACACUUAGAUUCAUUGACAGGCAGUCAGAGAACAUUCAAAGAUUUACAUUCAUUGACAAUAACACUGCUAGUAUACUCAUACAUAGAUAGCCUGAAUACAUUCAUAGGAAAAACAUACUUGAGAGACAUUAUUUUAGAUUGUACUAGCUACAGAUGACAGUCAGACAGUGAGAGGGACAGAACAAAGACAGAUUCAGUGCAGGGUUGGGCGUAGUUUCAUUCUCAACUCAAGGGGUUGAAUUUUGUCCGUUUCAAUUUCAAAUUCAAACCUUGAAUUGUUCAACGCUUGAAUUUAUUUUCUAUAAGAAUUCCUCAUUUCAUGAAUGGACGGAACAGACCCCUUUGCCUAACUGGAGAGGUACACGUACAUUCAUAGUGUGGUCAUUGAGACAUUCCUAGACGUGUGCACAAAGAGACAUUACAGACAUACUGUUCAGAUAGUAGACAUUCAUAGGAUAAGACAUUCAUGUCAUACAGUCUCAAUAGACAUCAAUCAAAUGUAUAAACCUGUGUAGUAUUCUACAACUAUCAUACACACAACUGUCGGUGGUCAAAUAGGCCACGUCCUAAAAGGCACCCCUAUUCCCUACACAGUGCACUACUUUUGACCAGAUCCCCUAUGGGCCCUAAAUACAGUAGGUGCACUAAAUAGGGAAUAGGGUGCAGUUUUGGACACAAACAUAUUCUCUAUCCUCACAAUGACCUAGAUUCACAGUGAGGAGCCUUUCCAGAAAGCAGGAUUAAAUUAGUGAGCUAACUUUGACAAACAGUCAGAUAUCUCGCUUAAUUUUCAGGUAAAUAUUGGGGGGUUUUCUGUUUCAUUUUGAAAGCUAAACUUCAAUAUGUGUUGGUGGUUGUCAAGUCAAUUACAACAUGCUAAUUUCAACUCUCUCUCUCUCUCUCUCUCUCUACAUAUAUAUAUUCAAAACAAAUGCAAUGUCAUUUCUUGAAUAUUUAGGACAGUUCAGGCUAACUCAAUGAUCCUGCUUCCUGCUUCCUGGAAUAGCCCCUUGUACUCAACCCUUUAUUUUUCUUCAAUCUUCCCUCCUUAUCACUUACCCUCCUUAUCACUUACCCUCCUUAUCACUUACCCUCCUUAUCACUUACCCUCCUUAUCACUUACCCUCCUUAUCUCUU